RNAcentral lists this long non-coding RNA (342 nucleotides) under Elaeis guineensis (African oil palm). Its description in RNAcentral is "long non-coding RNA (EGUI_LNC035561)". Lineage: Eukaryota; Viridiplantae; Streptophyta; Magnoliopsida; Arecales; Arecaceae. The record is from RNAcentral.
UCUUGCCAUGUUUGGAUAAUCCUUGACUAGGUAUUUAACCUAGAUAAAACUCUAUCAUAUCUCUCUAUUUAAAAUAAAUUUCUUCAUAAAAUUUUUUUAAAAAAUAGAGAAAAGAAAGACCUUUAGGGCAUGCAAAAAUCAAGGAGAAAGAAGGUUGGGGCAUGGAGAUACAAUAGACACAAGACUAGGUGUCUUGGUGAGAGCAAAGAGAAGAAGAAGAGGGUCUUCUUCUAGGGUUGUUGUGUUCACCUCUUCCCUUCCUCCAUCUUGAGUUUUCUGAGAGUAUCUCAGAUCUAAAACUCCUUCUCCUACUUUUCAUCUUUGGAAGAGUCCUAAUCAAGA